Molecule: non-coding RNA, 27 nt
Filed under: Rattus norvegicus (Norway rat)
Lineage: Eukaryota; Metazoa; Chordata; Mammalia; Rodentia; Muridae
Source: RNAcentral
UGUCACUGGUAGGGCCUGCAAGGUACA